GGGGACUCGUGGUUUAACUUAUCUAGUAGUCUAAAUUGAUUAAAUUUGACUUGAUUGUAUAUAUUUUGUUUUUGUUUUUGUUUUUGUUUUAUUUUAUAUAAAAGUGCUACUAGGGUUUGUGUUUCUUGUGCAUGCAGGAAACUAGACAUACUAGGAGCAAGAAAAACACACUCUUCUUGAAGGCUUGAGUGAAACAAGUAAAGGAGAGUCAGACACCCAUCUAGGGAGUUGUUUCCCUCUCCUGACAGAUUAUUAUCACCUUCACUAGAAGCUCGUAUACUAGAUUCAGAAGAGAUGGCAAAUGAGCAACCCCC
Molecule: long non-coding RNA, 314 nt
Filed under: Vigna radiata
Lineage: Eukaryota; Viridiplantae; Streptophyta; Magnoliopsida; Fabales; Fabaceae
Description: long non-coding RNA (VRAD_LNC016124)
Source: RNAcentral